RNAcentral lists this ribosomal RNA (301 nucleotides) under uncultured bacterium. RNAcentral's name for it is "partial 16S ribosomal RNA". It matches the Rfam family "Bacterial small subunit ribosomal RNA", at positions 509 to 807 of the family's 1533-position model. The record is from RNAcentral.
CAGCCGCCACGGUAAUGCGAAGGGGGCUAGCGUUGCUCGGAAUGACUGGGCGUAAAGGGCGCGUAGGCGGUUUUGACAGUCAGAUGUGAAAUUCCUGGGCUUAACCUGGGGGCUGCAUUUGAGAUGUCAAGACUAGAGUGUGAGAGAGGGUUGUGGAAUUCCCAGUGUAGAGGUGAAAUUCGUAGAGAUCGGGAGGAACAUCAGUGGCGAAGGCGGCCAUCUGGGACAACACUGACGCUGAGGCACGAAAGCGUGGGGAGCAAACAGGAUUAGAUACCCCUGUAGUCCCUGUCUCUUAUAC